RNAcentral lists this ribosomal RNA (477 nucleotides) under uncultured bacterium. RNAcentral's name for it is "bacterial SSU rRNA". It matches the Rfam family "Bacterial small subunit ribosomal RNA", at positions 31 to 507 of the family's 1533-position model. The record is from RNAcentral.
GAACGCUAGCGGCAGGCUUAACACAUGCAAGUCGAGGGGUAGAAGCAGCUUGCUGCUUUGAGACCGGCGCACGGGUGCGUAACGCGUAUACAAUCUACCUUUUACAGAGGGAUAGCCCAGAGAAAUUUGGAUUAAUACCUCAUAGUAUUUUCGAAUCGCAUGGUUUGUAUAUUAAAGUUCCAACGGUAAAAGAUGAGCAUGCGUCCCAUUAGUUAGUUGGUAAGGUAACGGCUUACCAAGACGAUGAUGGGUAGGGGUCCUGAGAGGGAGAUCCCCCACACUGGUACUGAGACACGGACCAGACUCCUACGGGAGGCAGCAGUGAGGAAUAUUGGACAAUGGGCGCAAGCCUGAUCCAGCCAUGCCGCGUGCAGGAAGAAGCAUCUAUGGUGUGUAAACUGCUUUUGCACAGGAAGAAACAACGCUACGUGUAGCGUCUUGACGGUACUGUGAGAAUAAGGAUCGGCUAACUCCGUG